Molecule: small nuclear RNA, 104 nt
Filed under: Erinaceus europaeus (western European hedgehog)
Lineage: Eukaryota; Metazoa; Chordata; Mammalia; Eulipotyphla; Erinaceidae
Description: U2 spliceosomal RNA
Rfam family: U2 spliceosomal RNA
About the family: U2 is a small nuclear RNA (snRNA) component of the spliceosome (involved in pre-mRNA splicing). Complementary binding between U2 snRNA (in an area lying towards the 5' end but 3' to hairpin I) and the branchpoint sequence (BPS) of the intron results the bulging out of an unpaired adenosine, on the BPS, which initiates a nucleophilic attack at the intronic 5' splice site, thus starting the first of two transesterification reactions that mediate splicing.
Source: Rfam by way of RNAcentral
GCCACUUGUUGGCUUUUUGGCUAAGACCAAGUCUACUAUCUGUUCUCACCAGUUUAAUAUCUGAUCCAUCCUCUGACUGAACACUUCUUCUUCUUCUAGCGUUU